UAUAUAUUUGUUCGUUUACCCACGUUAUAUUUUACUUGAGUGUAUUGGAGCCAACACCACAGCACACAGUGUGAGUGAUUCUUCGUUUCGGUAUUGCGAGGGCCCCGCGGCGUCUCACGACGGCAACCGACGGUAAAAGACAACCUCCACCUUCUUUACACGGGAAUAAAACACCACAACUUAUAUUAUAUUUAAUAUCACGACACUUUGCGCGACUUAUAUUUCCCGCAAAUACUAUUACGCGUAAUUAUGCUGGUCAUUAAUUUAACUUAAAUUGCAUAUUUUAUAUCUCCAUAUAAAAUAGCCUCAUAUAUCGGCCAUUUUAUUUGUAAACUACUAAAAAACAAUAUUACCAAUAUAACAACAUUUUUGGAGGGAGCAGUGUGGCUUUAGGUGGCCGCGACAUAAAGUCCGGGGGGAGAAAACUGAUUCAGCGAACCGUGAAGGCGAUACCGGGUCGUCAUGGGCAUCAAACAGCAUCAGCAUCAGCAACGGCAACGACAGAAAUAGUCUCUACCCUACAACUAUAGAGCACAAUAAUACUAUAAACUUGCCCCUCGUAUUUCUCCAAUCCCGAUGGGACGAUUUGUAUGUAUCAAUUACCCUGCGGGUUUAAAAAGUAUCAGUUGAAUAUAUCAAAUAUUGUGUGAUACUCAAAUUUUUAAAUGACUCACGGCUUUAAUGAUUGAUUUCAAAUACUUGUUCAGAUACUGGUAAUAAAAAAUCCGCGGGUGGUAUGAAUGAUAUAAGGUAACGUCUGACCUUGGAUAGACCUCGUUGUCGUACCUGUAAAUAAAAAAAAAAAAAAAAGAAGAAGCUGAACUCGAGUUUGACUGUAGUCGUAUUUAAAUUUUGAAAGUUUUAAACGCAUUGGUAAUCAUUAGAUUGUACAUGUAAAUAAAAAAAGAGACGAAAUGAAUGUAAUCAUUCGGCGACUUUAAUUAAAAGAUGAUUAUAUAAUGAUGAGGAAUGUCAGUUAACUGUUAUAGCGAUGGUGCGAAGGUGAGAGUGUAUAUUGAAUAUUGAGCGUACUAUUGAAAAAAGUUGCAGAACGGAGCUAUUGUGAUGAGAAAGCUUGAGAUAACGACGGAUAUGUCCUGAACUACCUGUUCAUCGUCAAUUAUUUAUCCUUUUUUCUAUUUCUCCCUUCUCUCAUUUAUUUCUCUUAUUACUGUUACUUUUUUUAUGCACACAUUUAUAACACUGUAAAAUUAGCAGAGUAAAUUUGGAGCGGUUGACUGUUUAUUUAUUUCAUACCCCGGAGUAAAAUUCACUCCGAAGGGGAUUUUAGUUUAAUAUUAAAAUUUCGAAUCGGAGUGAAUGCGGAUUCAAAUAAAAUCUAGAUUACUCCGAAAUAACUCCGCUGGAGAAAAACUCCGUAUUUACUCCGCGUGCAAAUUGAUUUUUUUUUAACUCUGGAACUCCGAGUGACGGACUGAAUUCGGAGUAAAUGCGGACCGAAUGUCUGUGUAUUUAUUUAAUGCCUUUGGAAUAAAAUUCACUCCGAAGGGGAGUUUAUUAUAAAUGUGACACUCCGAAUUGGAGUGAAUGCGGAUUUAAAUAAAAUUCAGAUCACUCCGAAAUCACUCCGCUAAAAAAACUCCGUAUUUAUUCCAAAUGCGAAGUGAUUUUUUAUAAAACUCCGGAACUCCGAGUCAGAGUGAAUGCGGAUUUAAAUAAAAUCCAAAUCACUUCGAAAUCACUCAGCUGGAGAAAAACACUUCGUAUUUACUCCGCAUGCAGGUUGAUUUUUUUAAACUCCGGAAUUCCGAGUGACGGAGUGAUUUCGGGUUUAAAUCAAAUCCGUAAUUACUCCGAAUUCACUCCCGAUUUUUUACUGUAUAAAUCAUAGUUGAAUUAUUAAAAGUAUAAUAAGUAUAUACAUUUCAUAACGUUAAUAAUUCUGAUGAAUUCAACGCGCUUUGAUCUAGAACACUUAGGAGUAACUUUGAUGCCUAUGUAAAUAAUUUAUACGCAGUUUUUUUUUUACAUUACGUCCCCUUGUCACUUGAUAAUUUCAGAUGUAACGCAUCUUGAUUUUCUAUGUGAUAUUUUCUUUCUUCAUUUUUUUUUUUUUUUUUUUUUUUUUUGUUAUUGAUCUGGAUUAAUAUGGAUAAUAGGCAGAAUAGAAGCCAUGAGCUGAUGAACAUCAGGGCAAGUAGAAGAGGGUGUCAUGCAUGGCUCGUCGCAUCAUCCUGUACGUUAUUCCGCUGGUAAUGCAAGCACAUUACGAUCUUCAUGGUCAAUAUAAUUCUCAACCAAAAUUAGUAUUGAAUUGCCAUGUUGGACACACUAGUUUAUUGAUGGAUACUUUAGAUACACAUUCAACUGACAAUACAUUAAAUCCGAUACACAAUUGAGCUAAAUUUUCGGUUGAUAAUUUCAUGUACUUCAAUUCAACAUUGAACCGAAAAAUACUGAUAGAUUAUUUGUUGAAUUAAAUAGGCGUAAAUAUUGGCAAAAAAAACCGAUAUACUGUGAAAAAUUUGCGGAGUAAAUGCAGACUGGAUAACUGUGUAUUUAAUUAAUGCCC
Long non-coding RNA from Microplitis mediator, 2533 nucleotides. RefSeq lists it as uncharacterized. The record is from RefSeq and is a predicted model, not a curated record. The transcript has 4 exons. NCBI's taxonomy places the organism in Eukaryota, Metazoa, Arthropoda, Insecta, Hymenoptera, Braconidae.